This 380-nucleotide ribosomal RNA is filed under the name uncultured eukaryote. Its description in RNAcentral is "partial 18S ribosomal RNA". It matches the Rfam family "Eukaryotic small subunit ribosomal RNA", at positions 592 to 976 of the family's 1831-position model. The record is from RNAcentral.
CAAUAGCGUAUAUUAAAGUUGUUGCGGUUAAAAAGCUCGUAGUUGGAUUUCUGCUGAGAACGACCGGUCCGCCCUUUGGGUGUGUAUCUGGCUCUUUCUUGGCAUCUUCUUGGUGAACGUUGCUGCACUUGACUGUGUGGAGCGCUACCCAGGACUUUUACUUUGAGGAAAUUAGAGUGUUUCAAGCAGGCAUACGCCUUGAAUACAUUAGCAUGGAAUAAUAAGAUAGGACCUCGGUUCUAUUUUGUUGGUUUCUAGAGCUGAGGUAAUGAUUAAUAGGGAUAGUUGGGGGCAUUCGUAUUUAACUGUCAGAGGUGAAAUUCUUGGAUUUGUUAAAGACGGACUGCUGCGAAAGCAUUUGCCAAGGAUGUUUUCAUUGA